GAUGAACGCUGGCGGCGUGCCUAAUACAUGCAAGUCGAGCGAACAGACGAGAGUGCUUGCCCUCUCUGACGUUAGCGGCGGACGGGUGAGUAACACGUGGGUAACCUACCUAUAAGACUGGGAUAACUUCGGGAAACCGGAGCUAAUACCGGAUAAUAUUUAGCUUCGCAUGAAGCAAUAGUGAAAGACGGUUUUGCUGUCACUUAUAGAUGGACCCGCGGUGUAUUAGCUAGUUGGUGAGGUAACGGCUCACCAAGGCAACGGUACAUAGCCGACCUGAGAGGGUGAUCGGCCACACUGGGACUGAGACACGGCCCAGACUCCUACGGGAGGCAGCAGUAGGGAAUCUUCCGCAAUGGACGAAAGUCUGACGGAGCAAUGCCGCGUGAGUGAAGAAGGUUUUCGGAUCGUAAAACUCUGUUGUAAGGGAAGAACAAGUACGUUAGUAACUGAACGUACCUUGACGGUACCUUACCAGAAAGCCACGGCUAACUACGUG
Molecule: ribosomal RNA, 499 nt
Filed under: uncultured bacterium
Lineage: Bacteria
Description: partial 16S ribosomal RNA
Rfam family: Bacterial small subunit ribosomal RNA
Source: RNAcentral